Molecule: ribosomal RNA, 420 nt
Filed under: actinobacterium SCGC AAA028-N10
Lineage: Bacteria; Bacillati; Actinomycetota; Actinomycetes
Description: bacterial SSU rRNA
Rfam family: Bacterial small subunit ribosomal RNA
Source: RNAcentral
CACCAGUGGGGAAUAUUGGGCAAUGGAGGAAACUCUGACCCAGCGACGCCGCGUGCGGGAUGAAGGCCUUCGGGUUGUAAACCGCUUUCAGCAGGGAAUAAGCGCAAGUGAAGGUACCUGCAGAAGAAGCACCGGCUAACUAUGUGCCAGCAGCCGCGGUAAUACAUAGGGUGCAAGCGUUGUCCGGAAUUAUUGGGCGUAAAGAGCUCGUAGGUGGUUUGUUACGUCGGUUGUGAAAUUCAGGGGCUCAACCCCUGACUUGCAGCCGAUACGGGCAAGCUAGAGUUUGGUAGGGGAGACUGGAAUUCCUGGUGUAGCGGUGGAAUGCGCAGAUAUCAGGAGGAACACCGAUGGCGAAGGCAGGUCUCUGGGCCAAUACUGACACUGAGGAGCGAAAGCGUGGGGAGCGAACAGGAUUAG